GAAGCUACCUGGUUGAACCCGCCAGUAAUCAUAUGCU
Molecule: ribosomal RNA, 37 nt
Filed under: Lupinus atlanticus
Lineage: Eukaryota; Viridiplantae; Streptophyta; Magnoliopsida; Fabales; Fabaceae
Description: partial 18S ribosomal RNA
Source: RNAcentral